Alosa sapidissima (American shad) is the source of this 117-nucleotide long non-coding RNA. RefSeq lists it as uncharacterized. The transcript has 2 exons. The record is from RefSeq and is a predicted model, not a curated record. NCBI's taxonomy places the organism in Eukaryota, Metazoa, Chordata, Actinopteri, Clupeiformes, Clupeidae.
UCUACUCACUACCACGUAAGUGUAAUGUUGUUUGGAACUGUAGAAAAGGUAUAAAAAUAGCGUUUUGUAGCGGUGAAAUGACUUGCCCUGGUCACUUCCAGGCUAACGAGUUUUGAC